UACGUAGGGAGCAAGCGUUGUCCGGAAUUACUGGGCGUAAAGGGCUCGUAGGCGGCCAACUAAGUCAGACGUGAAAUCCCUCAGCUUAACUGGGGAACUGCGUCUGAUACUGGAUGGCUUGGAUUUGGGAGAGGGAUGCGGAAUUCCAGGUGUAGCGGUGAAAUGCGUAGAUAUCUGGAGGAACACCGGUGGCGAAGGCGGCAUCCUGGACCAACACUGACGCUGAGGAGCGAAAGCCAGGGGAGCAAACGGG
RNAcentral lists this ribosomal RNA (253 nucleotides) under uncultured bacterium. RNAcentral describes it as "partial 16S ribosomal RNA". It matches the Rfam family "Bacterial small subunit ribosomal RNA", at positions 524 to 776 of the family's 1533-position model. The record is from RNAcentral.